UACGAAGGGUGCAAGCGUUAAUCGGAAUUACUGGGCGUAAAGCGCGCGUAGGUGGUUCAGUAAGUUGGAAGUGAAAUCCCCGGGCUCAACCUGGGAACUGCUUUCAAAACUGCUGAGCUAGAGUACGGUAGAGGGUGGUGGAAUUUCCUGUGUAGCGGUGAAAUGCGUAGAUAUAGGAAGGAACACCAGUGGCGAAGGCGACCACCUGGACUGAUACUGACACUGAGGUGCGAAAGCGUGGGGAGCGAACAGG
This 253-nucleotide ribosomal RNA is filed under the name uncultured bacterium. Its description in RNAcentral is "partial 16S ribosomal RNA". It matches the Rfam family "Bacterial small subunit ribosomal RNA", at positions 524 to 776 of the family's 1533-position model. The record is from RNAcentral.